This 460-nucleotide ribosomal RNA is filed under the name uncultured bacterium. Its description in RNAcentral is "partial 16S ribosomal RNA". It matches the Rfam family "Bacterial small subunit ribosomal RNA", at positions 338 to 795 of the family's 1533-position model. The record is from RNAcentral.
CCUACGGGGGGCAGCAGUGAGGAAUAUUGGUCAAUGGGCGCGAGCCUGAACCAGCAAAGUAGCGUGAAGGAUGACUGCCCUACGGGUUGUAAACUUCUUUUAUAAAGGAAUAAAGUGAGGAACGUGUGCCUUUUUGUCUGUACUUUAUGAAUAAGGAUCGGCUAACUCCGUGCCAGCAGCCGCGGUAAUACGGAGGAUCCGAGAGUUAUCCGGAUUUAUUGGGUUUAAAGGGAGCGUAGAUGGGUUGUUAAGUCAGUUGUGAAAGUUUGCGGCUCAACCGUAAAAUUGCAAUUGAUACUGGCAGCCUUGAGUACAGUUGAGGUAGGCGGAAUUCGUGGUGUAGCGGUGAAAUGCUUAGAUAGCACGAAGAACACCGAUUGCGAAGGCAGCUUACUAAACUGCCACUGACAUUGAUGCUCGAAAGUGUGGGUAUCAAACAGGAUUAGAUACCCCUGUAGUC